GGAGUUUGGUCCGUGUCUCAGUACCAAUGUGGGGGACCUUCCUCUCAGAACCCCUACUGAUCGUAGCCUCGGUGGGCCGUUACCCCGCCGACAAGCUAAUCAGACGCAUCCCCAUCCCAUAGCGGUGAACCUUUGCUUCACAUCAGAUGCCAUCCGUGAAGAACAUAGGGCAUUAAUUCGACUUUCGCCGGGCUAUUCCCUACUGUGGGCCAGGUUGGAUACGCGUUACUCACCCGUGCGCCGGUCGCCGGCAAAGAAAGCAAGCUUUCUUCCCGCUGCCCCUCGACUUGCAUGUGUUAAGCCUGUAGCUAGCGUUCAUC
This 320-nucleotide ribosomal RNA is filed under the name uncultured Prevotella sp. RNAcentral's name for it is "partial 16S ribosomal RNA". Lineage: Bacteria; Pseudomonadati; Bacteroidota; Bacteroidia; Bacteroidales; Prevotellaceae. The record is from RNAcentral.